GAAUUUGUCAAAAGAUUAUCACGGACCAUGUGAAGGAGUGUUCACAAACUUGUCAUAAUUGAUUAGUUUGAAGGAAAAUAGCUCAAUCAAGUCACAUGUAGCUUUAUGGAGUUAUUAACACUGCCUGAAUAAGUAAGAAGUUUUGAACAAUGUCUUGUAAAACAGACCAGGCCACCAGAUCCAAGUGGAACCACACAACUUUCCAGUCCGUUUGCAGAGUUUUUCAACGAUGUUUUAGAGAACCAGAAUGGGGCAUAACUGAUGCAGGACCGAUGCAUGAACCAAAUAAUAUGUGAGAUCAAGUAGCCGAAUUACAGGUAAAAUUGGUCAACUUGACUAUUUUCAAUUUCCCCCUCAAUUUUCCCUUCUUUAUGAAAUGCAUAUUUUAAAUUAAAUCUUUAUGAUAUCAGCAUGACCUCAUGUUCUAAUCAAAUGAAACCAGCUCUGAGCCAACCACUUUUCUUUCCAAUGCUGGUUCUAUGCUUUUAAAACAUAAGUUUUGAAUGAAUAAAUAGACAGAGAUCUAAAAACCAAUUAACUCCCAGAAC
Molecule: long non-coding RNA, 548 nt
Organism: Magnolia sinica
Lineage: Eukaryota; Viridiplantae; Streptophyta; Magnoliopsida; Magnoliales; Magnoliaceae
Exons: 2
Source: RefSeq, a predicted model, not a curated record